CAGUCGAGCGGAGAUAUGAAUCUGAGAGCUUCGGCAGGAUGAUUUCAUAUCUUAGCGGCGGACGGGUGAGUAACGUGUGGGCAACCUGCCCUGUACUGUGGAAUAAUCACUGGAAACGGUGACUAAUACCGCAUGUCAUCCGAAGAGGGCAUCCUCUUUGGAGAAAAGGAUUUAUUCGGUACAGGAUGGGCCCGCAUCUGAUUAGCUAGUUGGUGAGAUAACAGCUCACCAAGGCAACGAUCAGUAGCCGACCUGAGAGGGUGAUCGGCCACAUUGGGACUGAGACACGGCCCAAACUCCUACGGGAGGCAGCAGUGGGGAAUAUUGCACAAUGGGCGAAAGCCUGAUGCAGCAACGCCGCGUGAAGGAUGAAGGGUUUCGGCUCGUAAACUUCUAUCAACAGGGACGAAAAAAAUGACGGUACCUGAAUAAGAAGCCCCGGCUAACUACGUGUCAGCAGCCGCGGUAAUACGUAGGGGGCAAGCGUUAUCCGGAAUUACUGGGUGUAAAGGGAGAGUAGGCGGCAUGGUAAGUUAGAUGUGAAAGCCCGAGGCUUAACCUCGGGAUUGCAUUUAAAACUAUCAAGCUAGAGUACAGGAGAGGUAAGUGGAAUUCCUAGUGUAGCGGUGAAAUGCGUAGAUAUUAGGAAGAACACCAGUGGCGAAGGCGACUUACUGGACUGAAACUGACGCUGAGGCUCGAAAGCGUGGGGAGCGAACAGGAUUAGAUACCCUGGUAGUCCACGCCGUANACGAUGAGUGCUAGGUGUCGGGGGGGAACCCUCGGUGCCGCAGCUAACGCAAUAAGCACUCCACCUGGGGAGUACGAUCGCAAGAUUGAAACUCAAAGGAAUUGACGGGGGCCCGCACAAGCGGUGGAGCAUGUGGUUUAAUUCGAAGCAACGCGAAAGACCUUUACAGGGCUUGACAUCCCUCUGACCGGUGUAGAGAUACACCUUCUCUUCGGAGCAGGGGUGACAGGUGGUGCAUGGUUGUCGUCAGCUCGUGU
Molecule: ribosomal RNA, 1008 nt
Filed under: uncultured bacterium
Lineage: Bacteria
Description: bacterial SSU rRNA
Rfam family: Bacterial small subunit ribosomal RNA
Source: RNAcentral